RNAcentral lists this long non-coding RNA (752 nucleotides) under Homo sapiens (human). RNAcentral's name for it is "non-protein coding LINC01338:2". Lineage: Eukaryota; Metazoa; Chordata; Mammalia; Primates; Hominidae. The record is from RNAcentral.
CGGGAGGAACCUGCGUGUGAAUGAGACGGCUGUCAGCAAGCCUACACUCAAAGGAUUUACCCGGUGCAGAGAGCUCCAAGAGAACACCAGAGCCCCUGGUAUUCUGGUUCACUUGAAUUUGUCCUCCUGCCUAUUCCAUAUUUUUUUCACACAUAUAAUCAUUUGUUUGCAGUCCGGAAAUAUAAAACCAUUCAAGAAACGGAGGCCCAACUAUUGGCUUCCCGAUUAUUCUACCAACUCUACCAAAUCCUUGUUCUUCGUUGCACAAUUAGCUGUGAAACAGACAGAGGUUACCUACAAUAAGUGCAUGUCAUUUUGGACUAGCCAUAUUUCAAGGGCUCAGUAUGGCUAAUGGCCACUAUAUUGGACAUCGACGGUCAAACCCAUUUUACAUUCCCCUGACAACUAUGAUUGGUGUGAGGCCUAUGAUGGCCCAACUAGGCUGACAGCAAAGAUCUUUCCUGUUGGCAAAGAUCAUCUUUCUCUCUCCUGCUGGCAAGAACAAGAAAGAAUAAAGGUCUGAUCAACCCAUGAGCUUUCUUGGGAUUUAUGAGGAGAACCAGACUUUGGAUGAAACUGACAUUGAAAUGAGCAGGAUGGAGAGAAAAAUCCUAGGGGUUUGGUGACAAUACUGGGCUGCUGAUUAAACUUGGAGUUUGCCCUGACUCUGAACUUUCUAUUUAGUGAGAUAAUAAUUGUCUCAAUUGUUUAAGCUAGCUUGUGUUGCUUCCAGCUAAAAGAGUGCCAGCUAU